GUGGGGAAAGCUAUAGUGUUUUAAAGAAAAAAAUACUAUUUAAAAAAAAAGUCAAUUUUGGGUAAAAGAAAUGAAAAAAAAACAUGUAAAAAAAAGGAAACAAAAGCGAAAAAAAAACACGUGGGGAAAGCUAUAGUGUUUUAAAGAAAAAAAUAAAAAAACUAAAUUUUCAACCAGCUCAAUAGUAAAAAAAUAAAAUCAACAAAAAUAAUUCUGAAAAAAAAGGAAAUAUGUAAAAAAUGAC
RNAcentral lists this long non-coding RNA (244 nucleotides) under Populus tremula. RNAcentral's name for it is "long non-coding RNA (PTRE_LNC000117)". The record is from RNAcentral. Lineage: Eukaryota; Viridiplantae; Streptophyta; Magnoliopsida; Malpighiales; Salicaceae.